Long non-coding RNA from Hyla sarda, 1746 nucleotides. RefSeq lists it as uncharacterized. Lineage: Eukaryota; Metazoa; Chordata; Amphibia; Anura; Hylidae. The transcript is spliced from 2 exons. The record is from RefSeq and is a predicted model, not a curated record.
UAUGGGCAACUGCACAACUCUUCCUCUACACUGGUUUUGAUGAAUCUCCCCCAUAGAGUUCUGUGAUUAUACUCAUAUUAGUUUGAACUUUUGUGAACUAGGUCAAUUGAAUACAACACAUUACCUCCUUUUUCAAUUAACCUAGUUGCCCAUUUAUGGUAUCCAAUCAACCUAGUUUCCACGGUUCAAAGUAUCAAUUGACCUAUAUCUGUCAAACCUAAUUAAAGAAUAAUCACACAACUUGAGCUGAACCCAGGAAUUGAACCCACACCAGGGUCUCCCAUACAUAUUACUACCAGUACCCUGCUGUUUAGCUUCCUACUUCAUUUGACACAGGAUCUCCAUAGACCACAAUGGGCCAUUGAAUUCAAUGGGCAAAAAAUCUCAAUGUUAUAGAUCUAGCCCAUUCAUUCCUAUACACCAACAAUAGACCAUGGAGGCUGACUUCAUACACAGCCUCCAAUGGUAUUCUGACUCACCAAAAUGAUAAUGUUUAAUGGGUUAAUUUAUUCCUAAAUUUCUGUACUUUCCUAUUUUGUCUGUAGCUUGAUGCAUUGGACAAACAUUUUAGCAGGAACUGGUGGGUUUGGAUAAAACAGUCCCCCAUAGGGCUACUGUAAGUGGUCCCCAAAAUUUUUUGUGACACCCCUAUGUCCAUUUAAUAUAUUGUUCAAGAGGAUUACAUUUUUUUAUUGUAUACAAUUUUUUAUCUUUUUGUAUUCAUUUUUAGAAACGAAAAGCUCUUCUGGAAAGACUAAGAAAAAAGGCAGAACUACAUGGCGAGCUACAUGAGCACUCUUUCCAAAACGAUCCAGAGUGGCCAAGCAUCAAUGACAUCCCAGGGUUAUUCGCAAGUCCGCUUAUAGAUCCUACUCUUGUUUUGCGCAUGGAAUCCUUGGGCCUAAACGACGAAAGCCAAUACCAUCAUGUGUCGUCAAUUUUAUUAGGUCUGAAUUUCCAGAUCCUGACGGGCAAUAUAUUGGAUUCCACUGGCCUGAUGAAUACCCAGCAAGUGGCAUGGCUGCUGAUGUUUGAUUCACUAUGACACUUACUUUCUGCACUUUUCAUGUUACUACAGUUUUACAUUGCAUUUUUAUUGUUUACAAUUUUUUUAUGUUUAUUUAUCUUGUUAUUUAUAUUAUAUUAAUUAGUUAUUUAAAUUUUUAUGGUGGUUAUUUUAUUUUGUCUAUUUUAAUCUGUCUACACCAGUCAUUUCCCAAACGUGGUCCCUCGGCACACUGCUAUUCCAUUUGACACUUCCCAUUGUUGGAGUUUAUUUUUCCGUUGAUUUUUUUAUUUUUUUAUUUCCAGCCCUGGCAUGCUCGCUGAUGACUGACGGCGCAGGGUGGAAGGGAAGCCUGCGUGCGAACUGCGCACAGUGUCCCACUCCCCCUUGCGGCCCAGUGAGGCAAAAAUGGAGCCAUGGUGAAGAAGCUGUAAUACCUGCGGUGCCACCGUCACUGCGGUGUCACCCAGGUCCACCCUCUACCCACCCCAACUGUCAACCCCCCGUCCACACCCGUGUCACCAUGUUCAUCCUCCUGUCCUCACUGUCACACAUGUUCCCCCUCCCCAUCAAUCAUGUCUACCCCCUAUUCACAUCUGUCACCCAUGUACACUCCUCUACACCCCUGUUACCCAAUUACACCCCUCUGUUACCCAUGUACACUCCUCUACACCCCUCUAUAAACCAUGUACACUCCUCUACACCCCUCUAUAAACCAUGUACACUCCUCUACACCCCUC